Molecule: ribosomal RNA, 395 nt
Filed under: uncultured bacterium
Lineage: Bacteria
Description: partial 16S ribosomal RNA
Rfam family: Bacterial small subunit ribosomal RNA
Source: RNAcentral
AUACGUAGGGUGCAAGCGUUAAUCGGAAUUACUGGGCGUAAAGCGUGCGCAGGCGGUUUUGUAAGACAGUGGUGAAAUCCCCGGGCUCAACCUGGGAACUGCCUUUGUGACUGCAAGGCUAGAGUACGGCAGAGGGGGAUGGAAUUCCGCGUGUAGCAGUGAAAUGCGUAGAUAUGCGGAGGAACACCGAUGGCGAAGGCAAGCCCCUGGGCCUGUACUGACGCUCAUGCACGAAAUCGUGGGGAGCAAACAGGAUUAGAUACCCUGGUAGUCCACGCCCUAAACGAUGUCAACUGGUUGUUGGGUCUUCAUUGACGCAGUAACGAAGCUAACGCGUGAAGUUGACCGCCUGGGGAGUACGGCCGCAAGGUUGAAACUUAAAGGAAUUGACGGGG